Long non-coding RNA from Nicotiana tabacum (common tobacco), 535 nucleotides. RefSeq lists it as uncharacterized. NCBI's taxonomy places the organism in Eukaryota, Viridiplantae, Streptophyta, Magnoliopsida, Solanales, Solanaceae. The record is from RefSeq and is a predicted model, not a curated record.
CUUUCGUUCACCUGUUAAUCUAAUUGACAACCCAACCGUUUCAUUUUUCCUUCCUUGAUAGUAACAGCCCAUUAAUUUGUACCAAACCCUUUCUUCCUCCUUCUUGAUAACUACAAUUUCAAACACUAAUGUCUUUUCUUUCUCUCCAUGGAUAAAAUGAAAAUUCCUCAUUUCUUCUGGAAAUCCAUAUGUGAUAUGACUUGGAAUUCAACUCAAGUUGGAAAUUUAAGGGGGAAAGGGCUGGGAAACGAUGUUGGACAGUGUUAUCAAUACAUGUCGUCACCAAAAAUUCAAGCUUCGGUCAUCUGUCUUCACUUUCUCUUGCACGUUCAAUCAUGAAUUAGAAGAAGCAUUUUUUUUUAAAGUUUUUUGUGGCAAAAUAUCAAAUACUAUUAUCAUUUGUUGGUCAUAUAUUUAAUUCCUUUUUUUCUAAACUGUUGCUUAUAUGCCUUUUUGGAGACUGACAUAUGUAUCCUCCUUUCAUCGUGAUGUUUUAGACUUCAAUACUACACAAGAGGGGGUGAUUUGUGUGGUA